Molecule: ribosomal RNA, 296 nt
Filed under: uncultured fungus
Lineage: Eukaryota; Fungi
Description: partial 18S ribosomal RNA
Rfam family: Eukaryotic small subunit ribosomal RNA
Source: RNAcentral
AUAAANUUUAGNGCCGCGAAUGGCUCAUUANAUCANUUACCGUUCAUUGGAUGUUGACCAACUACAUGGAUAACUGUGGUAAUUCUAGAGCUAAUACAUGCUGCCAAUCCUGACUUCUCAGGGCANGAUUUUUUUUUAUNCCNAGACCAANGGCGUGCUUCUCCGCGCCUGACGGUGGUGACUCUGGAUAACUGCCGCCGAUCNCAUGGCCUCGCCGGCCAAGUAUCCUUCCUAUGUCCGCCUUAUCAACUGUCNAUGGUAGGUUAUGCCCCUACCAUGGUUGCAACGAAUNACGG